Molecule: ribosomal RNA, 203 nt
Filed under: Sus scrofa (pig)
Lineage: Eukaryota; Metazoa; Chordata; Mammalia; Artiodactyla; Suidae
Description: partial small subunit ribosomal RNA
Rfam family: Bacterial small subunit ribosomal RNA
Source: RNAcentral
CAAACUGGGAUUAGAUACCCCACUAUGCCUAGCCCUAAACCCAAAUAGUUACAUAACAAAACUAUUCGCCAGAGUACUACUCGCAACUGCCUAAAACUCAAAGGACUUGGCGGUGCUUCACAUCCACCUAGAGGAGCCUGUUCUAUAAUCGAUAAACCCCGAUAGACCUUACCAACCCUUGCCAAUUCAGCCUAUAUACCGCC